This 21-nucleotide non-coding RNA is filed under the name Caenorhabditis elegans. The record is from RNAcentral. Lineage: Eukaryota; Metazoa; Nematoda; Chromadorea; Rhabditida; Rhabditidae.
UGGAAUCUCAAUUUUAUAAGA